UGAACGCUGGCGGCGUGCUUAACACAUGCAAGUCGAACGAGAACGCCUCAGCUUGCUGAGGCAAGUAAAGUGGCGCACGGGUGAGUAACGCGUGGGUAAUCUACCUCCGAAUUGGGGAUAACAUUGCGAAAGCGGUGCUAAUACCGAAUAAUAUCCUCAAGACUCAGGUUUUGAGGCCAAAGGUGGCCUCUACAUGUAAGCUACUGUUUGGAGAUGAGCCCGCGUACCAUUAGCUUGUUGGUGGGGUAACGGCCUACCAAGGCUGCGAUGGUUAGCUGGUCUGAGAGGAUGAUCAGCCACACUGGAACUGACACACGGUCCAGACCCCUACGGGAGGCAGCAGUGAGGAAUUUUGCGCAAUGGGGGAAACCCUGACGCAGCAACGCCGCGUGAGUGAUGAAGGCCUUCGGGUCGUAAAGCUCUGUCAAGUGGGAAGAAUCUGUCCGGUGAUAAUACCGCUGGGCAAUGACGGUACCGCUGAAGGAAGCACCGGCUAACUCCGUG
RNAcentral lists this ribosomal RNA (504 nucleotides) under uncultured bacterium. Its description in RNAcentral is "bacterial SSU rRNA". It matches the Rfam family "Bacterial small subunit ribosomal RNA", at positions 30 to 507 of the family's 1533-position model. The record is from RNAcentral.